Scylla paramamosain (green mud crab) is the source of this 4791-nucleotide long non-coding RNA. RefSeq lists it as uncharacterized. Lineage: Eukaryota; Metazoa; Arthropoda; Malacostraca; Decapoda; Portunidae. The record is from RefSeq and is a predicted model, not a curated record. The transcript has 3 exons.
GAGUGUGUGUGGGGGUGUUUCGAGUGUGUGCAGGGUCUUUUGAGUGUAUUUGAGUGUGUGUGGGGGUGGUUUGGGUGAGUUUCGGUGUGUGCGGGGUCUUCUGAGUGUAUUUGAAUGUGUGUGGGGGUGUUUUGGAUGCGUUUGGGUGUAUGCGGUGUCUUGAUUGUAUUUGAGUGUGUGGUGGUGUUUUGGAAGAGUUUGGGUGUGUGCGGGUUCUUUUGAGUGUAUUUGAGUGUGUGUAGGAGUAGUUUCGAUGCCUUUGGGUGUGUGCGGGGUCUUUUGAGUGUAAAUGAGUGUGUGUGGGCGUGUUUUAGGUGCGUUUGGGUGUGUGUGGGGGUCGUUUUGGGUGUGUGCAGGGUCUUUUAAGUGUAUUUGAGUGUGUGUGGAGGGAUGUUUUGGAUGCGUUUGGGUGUGUGCGGGGUCUUUUGAGCGUAUUAGAGUGUGUGUGUGUGUUUUGGGAGCGUUUGGGUGUGUUUGAGUGUGUGUAAGGGUGUUUUGGAUGUGAUUGGAUGUGUUUAGGGUGUACCCUGUGUUAUUGAGUGUUUUGGAUGUUUUAAGAGUGUUUUUGGGUGUGUGUUUGGAUGAGUUUUGGGGUGUUGGAGAGAGAGAGAGAGAGAGAGAGAGAGAGAGAGAGAGAGAAAGAGAAUGAGCAUUUUAGUUGAGCCUAUCCUGCGCUGGUUCGUCCGUUUGCUGAGGUGACACGGUACAGCACUGCUUCUCCCUGUACCAAGUACCGCCACGCAACACCAGACAGCCAUGAGUAUGUAAGCUCCACGGUGGCCCAACUUUCGGAGUUUUCGCCAUUCCCUCACCAGUGGGAUUGACAGGACGCCAAGCACUAGGCCGCAAGGACUUGAUGAGUACAGUGUACAAGAAGGCACAUGGUGGAAGCUAACAAGAAGCAAGAAUGUGAAUGUGAAUGGAUAGAGACAAUGACUUGCUACUGUAAUGAUAUUGUAGAGAGAGAGAGAGAUCCCAUGUGAGUGACUGACUUAAGAUAACAGUCAUUUGUAGUGUUUUAACUUUAUCUUUGGCAUGCAGCUUGGCUGUUGGUGAGGUGAGUGAUACUUUUAUUCAGCUGAAUCAUUCAGAACUCUUGCAUUGUCCAUGCCUUGGAAUAUGCUACAAAAGAACUUUUUAAGUCAACAUGAACUCAGAAGUGGUUAAUAGUAGAUAUGAAUCUUGAAGGCUUUCACUGGGGAGGCCAAACAUGUGUGUAGACAGCAGCUGGAGGAUGUGAUGAGUAGCAAGGCUCCUGUGCCAGUUCCUUAGUCAAGAAAAAAAUCACUGCCAAGUACACUGAGGAUGAAAUGGCCAAUCCUGAUGGAGGUUGUGUCAGUUUUGAUCCUCUAAAUCAAGUUUUCAGGUAUAAGGAUCAAAGAUUUGUCUUCUGAUAACAACAGGAGACAACUGAGCCUUGCAAGAUGAGGAUGGGGAACUCCAUCCUUGCAUCAGCCUUGUUAGGUGAGGCUAGGGAGCUCCACCCUCUUGAGAACCUUGCUCAACCAAUAAUGAUCUCCAGCCCAGCAUCUCACUGCAAGGCCAAUGACACUACAAGGUUGCUCAAGCCAGCACUGCCACUCCUCCUGCCAGCCCACUGCCUCCUCUCACAGCCUCUGUUGUCUCUCAGGAAGAUUUCUGCAGUUGAAGUAAAACAUUAUUGGUAAGAAGUGUGACGAACUUUUGCUUAGAAAACAACAUUAGGCUUGUAAUGUUGGUGGUGGUGGUAAUGGUGGUAACAACUGAUGGCAGUGUGUUUCAGAUCUUAACUCACACCAGACUCUCCACCAGUGGAAGAGAAGGAAGAGAGACAAGAAGAGAGUCCUUUGGCAGUCUUUAGUUGCCCAGAACAUUUUUAGUUACAUUAAUCUACCUUCAAGAGAUUUACAUUUCCAAGUAAUGCUUGUUUGUCCCACAAAGUGGUACUUGAUGCUGUCUGCAGCAAUAUAAUGUGAUAUGUUUCCUCUUUCAAUGUCAUAUCUCAGUUCACAUCAUAACAAGUGAUCAGUACUUCAGAAGUCACAUUUAAAUUUUCAGCCCAAAAAACUCAGGAAUGGCAACAUGCACAAGUGCUUUUGUUUCCUUUUGCCAGGAUCACAUGGCUGUGGCUGUGGUCCCUUAGGGCUGUCUCUCUAUAUAUCACAAGUCCACUUUCUUCCUACUAUGAAUGGAUGUCAUUAAAGACAGUUGUAUUAAUUUCAAUUCAAACAUUGCAGGAAUUUAAGCUUGAAUUUUUGUUCUUUCUUUUCUUUUUUUAUGCAUAUAGGUUCAAGAGAUUAUUUUGUGUGUGCAAUGUGUCAGUUUGCAAUAAUCUUAUAAUGUCAUUUGAUUUUAAUUUAAAGUUAUGUUUUAGUUCAGUGAAUGAGCUUUGAUGGCAGCCACAACCAGGAACUUAUGAGUCUGUGAUAUUUCUCCCCACCUGAGAGGAGUGUGUUCCCCUAAUGCAGUGCUCAGCCUGUGUUCAGUAGUCCUCAAUGAGAGGCUCAGGCAGAAUAAUUAGGUUGAAAGCUGCUUUCUAUUUCAGAAAUGGUCUCAGAAAGUUAUGGAAAUCUUACCUCAUGACACUUUUCUUAUUUAAGAGUAUGGUUUAAAGAAAUUGGGUAUGAAUUUUGGCAUGAAAUCCAGAAAUUGUGGCAAUAACUUAUGUUUUGAUGAUGCAGAUGUGUAGACACCUGAUGGAAUGUUCAGGUGUGGGGUUAGGUGAGCAGCAAGACUAAUAGGCUUUUAAUCAUAAUUAUUUUUAUUAUUAAGGAUGAUGACCUCAGUGCCUUGUAGAGAGGAUCAACAGGGAUCAGAACCUCAAGCAGAAACGUGAUUUAUCCCGAGCAGCAUUUACUGCCCUGGCAAAAAUUGUUUGUCGUAGUUCCUCAUUUUGAUAUGGAAGCUGUUACAUGCAGUGGCUGUACUUCCUUUUAUUUGUUUGUCAACUCCUAGUAGUUAUUUGGAAAUUUUGUUUUGAUGAUUUUCAGGCUGAUUUUCACUGGCUGCUGUGGGACAUGAACUGCAUCCUGUUGUAGGAUGCUCAUUGUCUUGCCAUCAGUGUUGCAGGACAUUUACAGCAUUCUGCUGUGGCUGUUGCAGGAUAGAUAAACACACACACACACACACACACACACACACACACACACACACACACACACACACACACACACACAGCCUUCUGCAGGACACACAUGCUCAACGAAACCUUCAGGAUGGUGCUCAGCUCAGGGCUGACAGAGGAGGAAGAGAAGGAGCCAAGUAUCUGCUCAAAGACCUUUAAAGAAACUCACAGUGGUUUCCAGCAACAUGAGAAAAGGCUUUUAUUUGUGUGCUUUUCUUUACUGUAUGCAAAUGUAGAAAGACAGUCAGGAUGACUACAGUCUGUUGAUAUGAAUUUUCUCAUCACUUAAUAGGUAAUUUGACUGAUAUUUUUUCUGUUGUAGCUGCAUAUAUCCUGAGAUCAACUCUUGUAUAUGAUGACAAUGUGUGACAAUAUUCACAUGAAGGGUGUGUGUUUGUGAGUGUGCAUGUGUGCAUGUGUCCCUGUGGACCCUGACUGAGGUGUUCCUGCUGGAGGCUCAGGGCUGUGGCCCUGUGGAGCCUUGAGGGAGGGGCAGCCUGAGUCUUGAGUUUAUGAUGUACCUUUGUCUGUAUUAACCAAGAAAUAUCCUUUCUGGUUACAAAGGAAGAGGGAUUAUCCUCUGUGAGGUUACUUCCUAAGAGCAGUCCUGUUGGUGUUAUGUUGGGUCUGAAGUAAUGGAUCUCCAUUACAACUCCUGGCCAGGAUGGUCCUGAGCAGCACCAUGCUGGCCAGGGCUGACUGAUUACUGUUGAUAUUAUCUGUAGUAGUGCUGCUCAUCAUGCUGUGAGGAUGCUGGUCACUGGGUGCAAUUGAAAAUAAAAUUUUGGAAAUUUGCAUGGGGAUAAAUAAAAAAAAAUGCACCUACAAUUUGUCUUUGAUAUAACUCAAGGUUGUUUUAUAAUCUGGUAUUGAGACCAGAACACAGAAUAAAAAAAAAUCAUAAAGCAUUUUAAUUUUAUAGGCUACUUUUAUAUCAUAUGAAAGUAAUUUAAAAUAUUAACAUAUCUACUGAAGUUCUGCAAAAUUCUUUGGAGGGGUUGCAUCCUGGGCCUGGCUUGCAUGAGCUGAAGUGUGUAUAAAGGCAAGUUUUGUACAUUUUUAUGUAGUGAAGUGUUUUGGUGUGUCCACCUGCUGUGUUGCUCGGGUUAACUGUGCUGGGUCACCAACUUGUAGAGGACUCAUGACUCCAAGUCAUGAGCUACAGCAUGUCAUUGAAUAUCUCUAGAAACUUUGUCUUAUCAUUGGUCCUGCAGUGACUCAGAAGAGCUGCUUGACAUAAUGUUGCCGUUUUUGCUGCUGACAGUUAGUGCAGUGGCGCUCACCUGCCUCAUCUGUUGGCUGCAAGACUGUUGCCAUCAUUUGAUGAGGUGCAGAUGUCAGCUUAACAGGAAGCACAUCUUGUUGAGGCUGAGAGCAACUGUAAGAAAAUAAGCAAGAAGAAUACCCUUGGCUGCACAUUGUGUGUGUGUGGGGUGAGGGUGUUGGCCUUCUUGGCAACAUGAGGUGUGAUGGUGGUAGCUGUUAAGGCAGUUGUCCAGCACCUAGAAGGGCGCUUAGUGGUGUCAUGUUGCAAUAUUACUAGAAGGCAAGAAUGUUCAUUGCCUUAUAACAGUGUCUCGCCGAGCAUUCGUCAACUGAAGAUUGUCAUAACUGCCUACAUUUUGGUGUAUUCUUUUAAGCAUUACGCCCAUCUUGGUCAUACGUGAUAAUAAAAUAAUUUUUAUACA